Molecule: ribosomal RNA, 458 nt
Filed under: uncultured bacterium
Lineage: Bacteria
Description: partial 16S ribosomal RNA
Rfam family: Bacterial small subunit ribosomal RNA
Source: RNAcentral
GAUAAACGCUGGCGGCGUGCAUGAGACAUGCAAGUCGAACGAAGGAUCGGGCUUGCUCGAUCCUUAGUGGCGGACGGCUGAGUAACGCGUAGGUGACCUACCCCGAAGUGGGGAAUAACUGCCCGAAAGGGCGGCUAAUACCGCAUGUGGUCGCACGUUCAUUCGUGCGAGUAAAGCCGCAAGGCGCUUCGGGAGGGGCCUGCGUCCGAUUAGCUCGUUGGUGGGGUAAUGGCUUACCAAGGCGACGAUCGGUAGGUGGUCUGAGAGGACGAUCACCCAGACUGGGACUGAGACACGGCCCAGACUCCUACGGGAGGCAGCAGUCGGGAAUUUUGCUCAAUGGGGGAAACCCUGAAGCAGCAACGCCGCGUGAGGGAUGAAGGCCUUCGGGUUGUAAACCUCUUUUGUCAGGGACGAUGAUGACGGUACCUGGCGAAUAAGCCACGGCUAACUACGUG